Molecule: long non-coding RNA, 319 nt
Organism: Chroicocephalus ridibundus (black-headed gull)
Lineage: Eukaryota; Metazoa; Chordata; Aves; Charadriiformes; Laridae
Exons: 3
Source: RefSeq, a predicted model, not a curated record
GGAGAACACCACACCAGGAGCUGGCGAGGACCAUCAGCCUGGUGCUGCAAUGUAGCCAGCAGAUCCAGAAGUAGUACAGAAAGUGUGACACACACGUGGGUCAGGAGGUCCAACUGAAGAUAGGUUAUGGGCAUGGAUCCGAUGUCUUGGUCAGAAUGCCUUACGCCUUACGCAAGAUGCCUUACACAAGCUUAUCCAAGACCCAAUGAGCCACCGCUCGGAAGGGGAAGGUGCCAUGAGGCCUGCUAUUCUCUUGCCCAGUGAUCCUAACGUGGAGAAGGUGCUUAGGAAGUACAUGCCAGACACUGCUCUCGGAAAG